GCACCCGUAGCUCAAUUGGAUAGAGCAUCUGACUACGGAUCAGAAGGUUUCAAGUUCGAGUCUUGACGGGUGCA
RNAcentral lists this transfer RNA (74 nucleotides) under Verrucomicrobiota bacterium. RNAcentral describes it as "tRNA-Arg". It matches the Rfam family "tRNA". From Rfam's summary of the family: Transfer RNA (tRNA) molecules are approximately 80 nucleotides in length. Their secondary structure includes four short double-helical elements and three loops (D, anti-codon, and T loops). Lineage: Bacteria; Pseudomonadati; Verrucomicrobiota. RNAcentral also lists the same sequence under 2 other names. The record is from RNAcentral.